UGCAGUUGUACGAUAUUUUCGUAGCGAACGGGUGAGGAGUGUACAAAAUUUUUACCUUUAAGUUUAGGAUAAAACAUAUUCAAAAACUUAUUUUUUUGAAAAAGCAUUUUAAAAUGUAUGUGUUAAUACUAGUAAAGUUUGUUUUAUUACAAACAAUCGCUAAAAGAUAACUUUGUAUAAGAUUAGGUAGUUGGUAAUUUAACAGAUUACAAAGCCAUUGAUCUUUAGUUGGUCUGAGAGGAUGAUCAACCACACUGGAACUGAGAAAGGUCCAGGCUGAGUUUUCGGCCAGCAGUAAAGAAUAUUGGACAAUGAACGAAGGUUUGAUCCAGCAAUACUAUUUGAAUGAUGAGUGCUGUAAUUUGGUUGUAAAGUUCUUUCGUUAAAAGUGAUAAUGACAAUUUAAAGAAUGAAAGUCCCGGCUAAUCUCGUGCCAGCAGCCGCGGUAAUACG
This 453-nucleotide ribosomal RNA is filed under the name uncultured bacterium. RNAcentral's name for it is "bacterial SSU rRNA". It matches the Rfam family "Bacterial small subunit ribosomal RNA", at positions 75 to 527 of the family's 1533-position model. The record is from RNAcentral.